AGCUCCAAUAGCGUAUAUUAAAGUUGUUGCGGUUAAAAAGCUCGUAGUUGGAUUUCUGCAUGGAAGGAGCGGUCCACCCAUUGGGCGCGUACGGCUACCUUUGAUGCAUCUUUCUGAGGACGUGUUCUUCACUUAAUUGUGAGGGCGCAGGACUCAGGACAUUUACUUUGAGGAAAUGAGAGUGUUUCAAGCAGGCAAAUGCCUUGAAUACGUUAGCAUGGAAUAAUAGCAUCGGACCAUCGUCCAGCUGUUGGUGUCUGGGCGAAGGUAAAGGUGAAUAGGGAUUGUUGGGGGCAUUCGUAUUUAACUGUCAGAGGUGAAAUUCUUGGAUUUGUUGAAGACGGACCACUGCGAAAGCAUCUGCCAAAGAUGUUCUCAUUGAUCAAGAACGAAAGUACGC
This 400-nucleotide ribosomal RNA is filed under the name phytoplankton environmental sample. RNAcentral's name for it is "partial small subunit ribosomal RNA". It matches the Rfam family "Eukaryotic small subunit ribosomal RNA", at positions 587 to 994 of the family's 1831-position model. The record is from RNAcentral.